RNAcentral lists this transfer RNA (74 nucleotides) under Spirochaetes bacterium ADurb.Bin133. RNAcentral's name for it is "tRNA-Arg". It matches the Rfam family "tRNA". Rfam says of the family: Transfer RNA (tRNA) molecules are approximately 80 nucleotides in length. Their secondary structure includes four short double-helical elements and three loops (D, anti-codon, and T loops). RNAcentral also lists the same sequence under 1 other name. The record is from RNAcentral. Lineage: Bacteria; Pseudomonadati; Spirochaetota.
GCGUCAGUAGCUCAGGUGGAUAGAGCAACAGCCUUCUAAGCUGUGGGUCCCGAGUUCGAGUCUUGGCUGACGCA